Molecule: ribosomal RNA, 253 nt
Filed under: uncultured bacterium
Lineage: Bacteria
Description: partial 16S ribosomal RNA
Rfam family: Bacterial small subunit ribosomal RNA
Source: RNAcentral
UACGAAGGGGGCUAGCGUUGUUCGGAUUUACUGGGCGUAAAGCGCACGUAGGCGGAUCGUUAAGUUAGAGGUGAAAUCCCAGAGCUCAACUCUGGAACUGCCUUUAAUACUGGCGAUCUCGAGUCCGGAAGAGGUGAGUGGAACUCCUAGUGUAGAGGUGGAAUUCGUAGAUAUUAGGAAGAACACCAGUGGCGAAGGCGGCUCACUGGUCCGGUACUGACGCUGAGGUGCGAAAGCGUGGGGAGCAAACAGG